Molecule: ribosomal RNA, 653 nt
Filed under: Boophis luteus
Lineage: Eukaryota; Metazoa; Chordata; Amphibia; Anura; Mantellidae
Description: partial 16S ribosomal RNA
Rfam family: Bacterial large subunit ribosomal RNA (bases 1-462)
Source: RNAcentral
CUCGUACCUUUUGCAUCAUGGUCUAGCAAGUCCAACCAAGCAAAAAGAAUUUUAGUUUGCCCCCCCGAAACUAAGUGAGCUACUUUAAAAUAGCCCCAGAGCCAACCCAUCUCUGUUGCAAUAGAGUGGGACAAUUUUUAAGUAGAGGUGAUAAGCCUAUCGAACUUAGAGAUAGCUGGUUUUUUAAGAAAAGAAUUUUAGUUCAGCCCUAAGCUUCCUGUUACACAAAAACAAAACUAGACUUAGGAGUUACUCAAAUAAGGCACAGCUUAUUUGAAAUAGGAUACAACCCAGGAGAAAGGGUAAAAUUAAUUAAAAUUUUUAGUAAGUGGGCCUAAAAGCAGCCAUCUUUUAAAAAGCGUCAAAGCUUAAUAUUAACAAUUUUUCUAAUACCAUUACUAUUUUUUAACCCUUAUUUACUAUUAAAAAACCCCAUAACAUUAUGGAAGCUAUUAUGCUAGAACAAGUAACAAGAAAAAGACUUUCUCCAAAAUGUAAGCUUAAGCCAUAAUAGACAAACUAAUGGCAAUUAACGUUUAUAUAUUUUUGUAGCAACACUAACAAGAAAACCCUAUACAUCCCUUCGUCAACCUUACACUAGCACAUUUAUGGAAAGAUUAAAAGAGUAGGAAGGAACUCGGCAAAUAUUGUAC